UACGUAGGGGGCGAGCGUUAUCCGGAAUUACUGGGCGUAAAGCGCACGCAGGCGGUUCGCCAAGUUUGGCGUGACAGUUGUCGGCUCAACCGACAAAAGACUUCAAAAACUGGUGAACUUGAGGACGAGAGAGGAACAUGGAACUCCAGGUGUAGUAGUGAAAUGCGUAGAUAUCUGGAAGAACACCAAUGGCGAAGGCAAUGUUCUGGCUCGUUUCUGACGCUCAGGUGCGAAAGCCAGGGGAGCGAACGGG
This 253-nucleotide ribosomal RNA is filed under the name uncultured bacterium. RNAcentral describes it as "partial 16S ribosomal RNA". It matches the Rfam family "Bacterial small subunit ribosomal RNA", at positions 524 to 776 of the family's 1533-position model. The record is from RNAcentral.